CCUACGGGUGGCUGCAGUCGAGAAUCUUCGGCAAUGGGCGCAAGCCUGACCGAGCGACGCCGCGUGCGGGAUGAAGGUCUUCGGAUUGUAAACCGCUGUCGGAGGGGAUGAAAUGCAUGGGGGUACUCCCCUGUGUUUGACAGAGCCUCGGAGGAAGCACGGGCUAAGUUCGUGCCAGCAGCCGCGGUAAUACGAACUGUGCGAACGUUAUGCGGAAUCACUGGGGUUGAAGGGUGCUCAGGCCAGGUGUGAAAUCCACCGGCUCAACCGGGGAACUGCGCUUGAAACUGGGGUGCUCGAGUGAGGUAGGGGUGUAUGGAACUUCCGGUGGAGCGGUGAAAUGUGUAGAUAUCGGAAGGAACGCCGGCGGCGAAAGCGGUACACUGGGCCUUGUCUGACGCUGAGGCACGAAAGCUAGGGGAGUGAACGGGAUUAGAUACCCUAGUAGUC
RNAcentral lists this ribosomal RNA (450 nucleotides) under uncultured bacterium. Its description in RNAcentral is "partial 16S ribosomal RNA". It matches the Rfam family "Bacterial small subunit ribosomal RNA", at positions 338 to 795 of the family's 1533-position model. The record is from RNAcentral.